Molecule: ribosomal RNA, 265 nt
Filed under: uncultured bacterium
Lineage: Bacteria
Description: partial 16S ribosomal RNA
Rfam family: Bacterial small subunit ribosomal RNA
Source: RNAcentral
GUCCACGCAGUAAACGAUGUGCACUAGGUGUUGGGGUAAUAAAACCUUCAGUGCCGCAGCUAACGCAUUAAGUGCACCGCCUGGGGAUUACGGUCGCAAGAUUAAAACUCAAAGGAAUUGACGGGGGCCCGCACAAGCGGUGGAGUAUGUGGUUUAAUUCGACGCAACGCGCAUAACCUUACCUGGGCUUGACAUCCCGAUCGUACUUCCUGGAAACAGGAGGUCAGCUCGGCUGGAUCGGUGACAGGUGCUGCAUGGCUGUCGU